This 2683-nucleotide long non-coding RNA is filed under the name Aquilegia coerulea. Its description in RNAcentral is "long non-coding RNA (ACOE_LNC000019)". Lineage: Eukaryota; Viridiplantae; Streptophyta; Magnoliopsida; Ranunculales; Ranunculaceae. The record is from RNAcentral.
UUAGUAUAUUACGUUAGCACUUUGAAACACUUUCAAUUUACUAACGGCAAUAUGCCGUCACCAUUUUGAAAUGUUUUUUAAAAAAAAAUUGUUAUAUCUAUAAUCCCAAGCCUGCACAGAUGCUACCACUGCAAUACAAAUAUGCAUAACAUAAAUUUUAUACAAGUAUUAAAGUUACAAAGCAUUCUUGCUUCAAAGAUUUGACUGCCAUAUAACAAAACAAAACUAAUAGAGGCCAUGAGCAACAAGUAGAUAUAAUUGUUUUCGAGAAAACACUAAGCGAUUGCAUCAAGAGCACUGAUGGCCUCAAGGAGAAGAAUUUUGGGGUCCUUCAAUAUAGCUCUCUCAAUGGAAAUUCUCUGUCUCUGCCCGCCACGAGUGCUCUCCCACCUGGUUCAGUAUGAUGUUUAGAAAACAGAGUUAUUUAUAUUUUCUGUUAUUAGUUCAAUCUGAGAUAUGUUGGAUAAUAAACUAGAGCAGUAUAUCAAUUCCUAAAUGUAAUACAUGCCAACAGUAAUUAACUCAAGGGGUUUCAUGACAGUUCACAUUGUUUUGCAAAAAAAGAAAAAGAAAAUGCACAGAAGCUUGCCAAGAAAUGGAUAUAUGAAAUUGUGAUCACUCAGUGUUUCGCAUUUACUGGAUUCAAAAAGUACAGGCUUAUAAUCAUGUAGUAAGUUGCCUAAUAAAUUCAGGCAUUGUCAAAUCAAAUACAUAUUCAAUUAGUUCAUGUCCAAAAUGAAUCCGAAAAUAUUUACCUUCCCUACAAGCAGCUCCCAUAAGACAAUCUUGAAACUUAUUAAAAACGUCCAUCUUGUGAUCAAAUGGCUUGCGCUCUAUGACCUAUAAUAAACACUAUUGUUAAAGAGGAUACAUGACAUUAGUUUAAGAAAAUAAAUGAAGAUCCUUAAGCAACCUAGUGAUUCAUCAUAUUCAAUAAUAAACAAGAUUAAGAUUGAAAAAGCUAUACGGCAGAGAAGUUCAUUACCUUCGUUGUGAGCAGGACCCAUAAUUGGAACUUUUGUUUUUUAUUUCAAAAAACAUCAGCUCUUACAUAGUUUUCAUAUAUCUGGACAGUUGGAAAAAAAAUGGAUUACACAAUCUGGUGCCUUAUUUCAAUAUUGAGAAAAUUGCACGGAAGAAACACUUUAAUUUCGUGCCACAUAUUGAAUGCACUGAGAAGAUAUUUUAAUUGAGGUAUAUAAAGAGUUACACUGUUUGAACACUAGACAAUUCCUAAGUUUAUAUUAUCUAAUGAAAGGCAUUUGGAUGGGUUAGCUAAGAAUAUACAGAAUGUUUAAAAUCAGAUUCAUUACCACCCAGUGGUUUCUACAAUCAAAAAAAAAAAAAAAAAGACAGCAGGACAAAGUUCUUUCAGAGAGAGUUGCACUUACCAAGAACUUGGUGAUCACUGCCUUUUCAGGUCUGGGUUCAAUAGCUUUUCAAAAGUUUUCUACGACUUUAAGUAUUGCUUCAGAAUGGCCCGUUCAGUCCUUGUGACAAACAACCAUACACACCUUAACACGUUUAAAAUUUAACAUCACAGUCAACUAGUAACAAAAAAAUCUGCACGGUCACAAUACCGGCCUAAACAAGAUGAAUAAGAUAUUAACUCAAUAUUAUUAGAGAUUACCUAUACUGGCUUGCAUUUUGACCUUCCUUAACAAUAUAAUUCUAUAUAGGGAAUCCAUGUCCUCUGAAGUACUUAUCCAACAUGUCUUUAACUCCCACAACUACACCAUAUACCAAUAACAUAAUAAUGGAAAAAAAAAACAUAUAUACCUAACCAUCAAUAGUAGUGCCAGAAGUAUGAGGUGUGAUGGCUUGAUUUGGCAUGCCAUGGAUCCUUUGGAGCUGGUUGUGACACCAAACAUCCCCACUAUAAGUCUAUAACCUGCACAUUUCAGUACAUUGGGUGAAAAAUACAUACAUGGAAAUUUUCUGGUCCAUUGGGUUGAAAUGUUGGACCUGCAACAAUGUGUGAAGGAGAGUUUUGGGGGGUUGUUAGCAGCAAAUGUAAUGCAGAAACAGAAUAUGCAGAGAAGAGGUUGGUAGAAAACAAUUCUUAUCCUACCAUUAUCAACAUGAACACUAUUGUACAAGGGAACUACUUACUAGUACUCCAUUGACUAUGGAAAAUUUCAAAUAUAGAAAUACCACAAACUUGUCAGCCUACUAGAUAUUUCAUCAAACACAUGCAGUUCAUCUUCAAUAUCAUCACAUUAACAAGUAGAAUCUGUAUUGCUAUAAACCCAACAAUACAGUAAAAAAAAAUUUGUGUUUCGUAUCUCAAUCAAUGUGUUGAUUAAUUAUCUUUGGUUUUAAUAUUGCAAGAUAGAAAAUUUUAACAAAAAUGAGAAAACAAAACAAAAUUGAUCUAAUGGAUUGUUGUCAUUGAGAAUAAAAGAUGAAUUACAUAAGCUAAAGCAGAUGAAGUGUUAAAUUGAUGAAUAAUGAUAGAUUAACAAACCUUGUAAACUUAAUUCGUAACCAACAGUGAAAUUACAGAACUGAGAGGCUUUACAUUGAAAUCGAAAAAAAAUUAAAGGGGUUGUAUAGAGAUGAGAGACAUCUGAUCGAGGGAGAGAGGGGAUUCAGUUUGUUAACGCCUUGGUGUGCUUUCACGUGAGAUAUACAUGGGACAAAUUUCGCAUUUUCCGGAUAAGUUUCUACAGGUAGUAACGAA